AGAGUUUGAUCCUGGCUCAGGACGAACGCUGGCGGCGUGCUUAAUACAUGCAAGUCGAGCGGGGUUAUCUUUUCAAAGCCCUUCGGGGUAGCGAAUUUUUAACCUAGCGGCGGACGGGUGAGUAACGCGUGGGUAACCUACCCUAAAGCCCGGGAUAACAGCGGGAAACUGCUGCUAAUACCGGAUAGCUUUAUCUGGAGGCAUCUUCGGAUAAGGAAAGAUUUAUCGCUUUAGGAUGGGCCCGCGUCCCAUUAGCUAGUUGGUGAGGUAACGGCUCACCAAGGCGACGAUGGGUAGCCGGCCUGAGAGGGUGAACGGCCACACUGGGACUGAGACACGGCCCAGACUCCUACGGGAGGCAGCAGUGGGGAAUAUUGCGCAAUGGGGGGAACCCUGACGCAGCGACGCCGCGUGAAGGAAGAAGGUCUUCGGAUUGUAAACUUCUUUGACUGGGGACGAAGGAAGUGACGGUACCCAGAUAACAAGCCACGGCUAACUACGUGCCAGCAGCCGCGGUAAUACGUAGGUGGCAAGCGUUGUCCGGAAUUACUGGGUGUAAAGGGCGUGUAGGCGGGGAUGCAAGUCAGGUGUGAAAAACCAUGGCUCAACUGUGGUCUUGCAUCUGAAACUGUAUUUCUUGAGUACUGGAGAGGGAAGUGGAAUUCCUAGUGUAGCGGUGAAAUGCGUAGAGAUUAGGAGGAACACCAGUGGCGAAGGCGGCUUCCUGGCCAGAGACUGACGCUGAGGCGCGAAAGCGUGGGGAGCAAACAGGAUUAGAUACCCUGGUAGUCCACGCCGUAAACGAUGGAUACUAGGUGUAGGUGGUAACAAGCCAUCUGUGCCGGAGCAAACGCAAUAAGUAUCCCACCUGGGGAGUACGGCCGCAAGGCUGAAACUCAAAGGAAUUGACGGGGGCCCGCACAAGCAGUGGAGUAUGUGGUUUAAUUCGAUGCAACGCGAAGAACCUUACCAGGUCUUGACAGUGUAAAGAAUACUUAAGAGAUUAAGGGCUAAGAAUUAAGCUUGCUUAUUUCACUUUAUAAACAGGUGGUGCAUGGUUGUCGUCAGCUCGUGUCGUGAGAUGUUGGGUUAAGUCCCGCAACGAGCGCAACCCUUAUUGCUAGUUGCCAUCAUUAAGUUGGGCACUCUAGCAAGACUGCCGGUGACAAAUCGGAUGAAGGUGGGGAUGACGUCAAAUCGUCAUGCCCCUUAUGACCUGGGCUACACGCGUGCUACAAUGGCUAAUACAAAGAGUUGCAAAACCGUGAGGUAGAGCUAAUCUCAUAAAGUUAGUCUCAGUUCGGAUUGUAGUCUGCAACUCGACUACAUGAAGUUGGAAUCGCUAGUAAUC
Molecule: ribosomal RNA, 1351 nt
Filed under: uncultured bacterium
Lineage: Bacteria
Description: bacterial SSU rRNA
Rfam family: Bacterial small subunit ribosomal RNA
Source: RNAcentral